Molecule: ribosomal RNA, 274 nt
Filed under: uncultured bacterium
Lineage: Bacteria
Description: partial 16S ribosomal RNA
Rfam family: Bacterial small subunit ribosomal RNA
Source: RNAcentral
AUACGAAGGGGGCUAGCGUUGUUCGGAAUUACUGGGCGUAAAGCGCGCGUAAGCGGACUGAUCAGUUGGGGGUGAAAUCCCAGGGCUUAACCCUGGAACUGCCUCCAAUACUGUCAGUCUUGAGUUCGGGAGAGGUGAGUGGAAUUCCUAGUGUAGAGGUGAAAUUCGUAGAUAUUAGGAAGAACACCAGUGGCGAAGGCGGCUCACUGGCCCGAUACUGACGCUGAGGCGCGAAAGCGUGGGGAGCAAACAGGAUUAGAAACCCUAGUAGUCC